This 72-nucleotide transfer RNA is filed under the name Marmota monax (woodchuck). Its description in RNAcentral is "tRNA.Ala". The record is from RNAcentral. Lineage: Eukaryota; Metazoa; Chordata; Mammalia; Rodentia; Sciuridae.
GGGGUUGUGGCUCAAGUGGUAAAGCGCUCACCUAGCAUGGGUGAGGUACUGGGUUCGAUCCUCAGCACCACA